Molecule: ribosomal RNA, 253 nt
Filed under: uncultured bacterium
Lineage: Bacteria
Description: partial 16S ribosomal RNA
Rfam family: Bacterial small subunit ribosomal RNA
Source: RNAcentral
UACGAAGGGGGCGAGCGUUGUUCGGAUUUACUGGGCGUAAAGGGCGCGCAGGCGGCCGCAUUUGUCAGGCGUGAAAGCCCCGGGCUUAACCUGGGAACUGCGUUUGAUACGGUGUGGCUAGAGUUCGGGAGAGGAGAGUGGAAUUCCCAGUGUAGAGGUGAAAUUCGUAGAUAUCUGGAGGAACACCGGUGGCGAAGGCGGCAUCCUGGACCGACACUGACGCUGAGGAGCGAAAGCCAGGGGAGCAAACGGG